GGCCUUUUGAGGGGCUCGGCUAGCUUCAGCGCCGUGGGGUCUGACCUGGCUGGGUGUAGUGUCCCGGCCCGGCAGGAGGGGCGGCCUGGUCCGGGUUGCGCCUCCUGGAGCCGCCCCCGGGACGUCAGUCCUGGAGGAGGCGAGGAAACCCAGAAAGCUGACGUAGCCUGAGGACACACUGCUGAUUAUAAAUACAACUGGGCCUGGAACCCAAGUGCAGUUACUCCCCUCCCAUGUUUUCACCUCCGCCUCUAUUUCGUAGCUUCUCUCAAAUAACCUUAAUAUAAUCCUGGAUAUGACAGUAGUUCUUCUGACAUGACUGUUAGACUCAGACAUGACUGAAGUGUCUCACAACACCCUCUUCCUCCAUAUUUUCUGCCAGUACCUUAACUCAAAUUGUCAGCAAAAUAAAGACGUAAGGAGCUGUCCUUUACCAUAAUUAAGAAAGUAUUAAUAUGUUCUCUCAAGGGCAGAAUUUGAACCAAUAAUCCUUGUCGAUGACAAGACAAAUACCAGCUCAUCCGUUAUAAAUUUAUCUUAGAAAACUCCCAGAUCCCCAGGAGUAACAGCGAUUGGCGUGACCUGCUUUUUGGUGAAAUCAGAAAAGGACUUGCCUACCCUCAUGGCAGCAAUUAACUGGAGCUGGCUAAUAGCUACUCCCUUUAGAUAAGUACAUAUGCUCGAGUUUACCGUGAUUCUGUGACUCCCUACAUUUCUAACAGUUGUUACCUCUCUGGUCCUUCUAGGCAUUCAGCUUUGGAACUUUGAUAAAGCAGCUUAGGGGUUUAGGAAGGAUGUUUAAGAUCACUGAUGCAACUAUUCAUCUUUCCUUCCCAUCAGAUGUUUGAAUUCUUGCUGCAUUU
RNAcentral lists this small RNA (863 nucleotides) under Pongo abelii (Sumatran orangutan). RNAcentral describes it as "processed transcript". The record is from RNAcentral. Lineage: Eukaryota; Metazoa; Chordata; Mammalia; Primates; Hominidae.